Molecule: long non-coding RNA, 2194 nt
Filed under: Pogona vitticeps (central bearded dragon)
Lineage: Eukaryota; Metazoa; Chordata; Lepidosauria; Squamata; Agamidae
Description: lncRNA (ENSPVIG00000004201.1)
Source: RNAcentral
UUUUGUUGACUUAAACGUCCUUCUGUGUGGCACCCUUCUGACCUAUAGGUGAGCGAUGUUUUGACUUAGACAGAAUCUCUCCGUUUUCAUCUGGAUUCUUCUUGCUGGUUUCUCUCUGCUUAACCUCUGUGGGCCCUAUCAGGUCUGCUGGUUUCCCUGUUGGGUUCUUUCUGUUUGAAUUCCUGUGAUUCUGACAGCUAAGACUAUAUGGCUUUAGUCUUGCAAACAUAUUCUUUUCUUUCUUUCUGCCUGAAGUGCCCUACUCUCUUGGCUCCCCAUUUGGAGCCUUCUAAGUGAGACAUGCCUCCCACACGGGGCAUCUGGGAGGGAGAAACAAUUUGGUUGUACUGUAUAUCCACUGGCCAGUCUCAGAACUGCAGUAUUCCCAAACAUAUUGUAAUGUUGGCUGUGCGCCCAAUCCCAUGCUGGCAGGUUUCUCACAAGAUUGCAGAGGAUGUUGGUUUGCAUGACUGGAUGUUUAUGUUCAGCUCAGGAUCUGCAUGUUGUUGACGUCCUAGAGUAGGAAUGAGUAAAGUAUGGCCUGCCAGAUGUUGUUGGACUGUAGUUCUCAUACUUGCCUACCAGUACAGCUUUCAGCUGUCCAUCUGAUGGUGAUGAAAGCUGGGAGCUGCUGCAGUCCAAGCACUUCUACAGGACCUCUCUUUGUCCACUGCAUCCUGGGGCUUGCAGAGUCUCUUCCAGAUGUUAUGUCCAGAUGAUUUUUCUGAAUCGCAGCAGGCUAAGCUGCAGCCCCUCAUACCAAUUUUUUAAAACCCUCAGGACCCUAGCACCUGCUUUUCUUUUCUGAAUCUCUCUGUUCUUUCUGUGGAAUGAGUAAGUUUGCCCUUGCUCACUGUCUAUGUUUUGAUGGCUCUCUGGAAGCCAGUUGGUGGCUUUUCUCUGUUGCUUGAUGUCCCUGAUCCCUGAGGGUCUGCUCCCCCUUGCUUUCUUGCUCUUUCAUGCCUGCUGCUGUGUGGCCCCGAGGUGUCCUAUUGCCUGUUUCUGCCCUCCGGGAACCACUACUGUCUGUUUCUCUCUCCUUCUCUUACUUUCUCGCUCUCUUUCUUCUUUCCACGGCCAAGUGUGUGGCUGAGUCUCUUUGUUUGGCCUGGGGACAUUGCUAUGUUUUUUUCUGUUUGUUUAGUGCUGUCCUUCUUUUUCUUGACUUUGUGUUUUUUCUUCUCUUCCUCCCCCUUUCUCUGCCCCUCCAUCUACUCAUUCCUCAUGCAUCCACCAUCUCUCUCCAUAUACACCUGUUUCUCCCCUGCACACACCUUUCACCUUCUUCCACCCAUCUUUCCAUCCUCUCUCUCUCUGUCUCUCUCUCUCUCUGUCCCUGUCUCUCUCUGUUGCUCCGUCUCUCUGCUGCCUUCUAUAGGUCGUCCACGUGUCCCACUCUGCACCAGUACUGCUGCUCUGCUCAGUCGCUUCUUCACUCGCAGCUAGCUUCCCCUGCCAGGCACACAGGCUGCAGGCCUUUUUUUUAAAAAAAGCAAAGGCUUAACUCCGUACUGCACAAAUAGAGAGACAUCAUUUUGUCUACAGGAGCACAUUCCUCACCUUUUUCCUGCCAGGAUAUUGCAGACUCUUGAUUUCUACUGAAGAAGCUCUCAUCGUUUCUUGUGCUGGGCAGGGUGUGUGUCAGGUGACAUGUUCUCAUGAGGAACUUAAAAAUAGAUCCUGUGUGGGGCAGGCCUGGCACAGAGAGAAGGAAACGGUUUCCCCAAGUGCCAGGUUUUGGGUAGGAGCAGAGUUUAGAAAAGUUACUUUUUUGGACCACAGAUCCCAGAAUCCAUCAACCACUUUGGCUGUUAGACUUGCAUCCUGUCAGCGGCUGCACUGACUAGAUGGUUCUGGGAUUUUUUUUCCCCAAGGUCUGCUUUUAUCCUUGAAUUAAGAAGGAGUGUGUUGAGAAGUAUUUACCUUGUUCUUAUGAACCGGCAUGUCCCUGUAACAAAGCCUCAAAUAUGUUUUAAAUUCUUGUUUUGGAUUCAUUAGGAGAAACAUUAAAGGGUUUUUCUCCAAAAUACCAAAUGUGUUUUGGUCUUACAUCAUUUUAGCUGUCAGGCUUUCCUUGAAGAAUCCUAAAAAUGCUGUGUGGGGAGAGACUGAGAACUGAGUAAAUGAAAGCUGGACAAUAUACAAACUUCAUGUAGUCUCGUAGAGCCCAAAUGUGGCCUCCAAUACUGCUAUA